GCCAGGUGUGGUGGUGUGCACCUGUAAUCCCAGCUAUUGGGGAGGCUGAGGCAGGAGAAUUGCUUGAACCCAGGAGGUGGAGGUUGCAGUGAGCCGAGAUUGUGCCACUGCACUCCAGCCUGGGCUACAGAGCGAGACUCUGUCUCAA
RNAcentral lists this small RNA (148 nucleotides) under Macaca fascicularis (crab-eating macaque). RNAcentral describes it as "Metazoan signal recognition particle RNA (ENSMFAG00000049093.1)". Lineage: Eukaryota; Metazoa; Chordata; Mammalia; Primates; Cercopithecidae. The record is from Rfam by way of RNAcentral.